AUGAACGCUGGCGGCGUGCCUAAUACAUGCAAGUCGAGCGAACAGACGAGGAGCUUGCUCCUCUGACGUUAGCGGCGGACGGGUGAGUAACACGUGGAUAACCUACCUAUAAGACUGGGAUAACUUCGGGAAACCGGAGCUAAUACCGGAUAAUAUAUUGAACCGCAUGGUUCAAUAGUGAAAGACGGUUUUGCUGUCACUUAUAGAUGGAUCCGCGCCGCAUUAGCUAGUUGGUAAGGUAACGGCUUACCAAGGCAACGAUGCGUAGCCGACCUGAGAGGGUGAUCGGCCACACUGGAACUGAGACACGGUCCAGACUCCUACGGGAGGCAGCAGUAGGGAAUCUUCCGCAAAGGGCGAAAGCCUGACGGAGCAACGCCGCGUGAGUGAUGAAGGUCUUCGGAUCGUAAAACUCUGUUUUUAGGGAAGAACAAAUGUGUAAGUAACUAUGCACGUCUUGACGGUACCUAAUCAGAAAGCCACGGCUAACUACGUG
This 496-nucleotide ribosomal RNA is filed under the name uncultured bacterium. Its description in RNAcentral is "partial 16S ribosomal RNA". It matches the Rfam family "Bacterial small subunit ribosomal RNA", at positions 29 to 507 of the family's 1533-position model. The record is from RNAcentral.